AUACGGAGGGUGCAAGCGUUGUCCGGAAUCACUGGGUGUAAAGGGUGUGUAGGCGGGAUAGCAAGUCAGAGGUGAAAUCCUGCAGCUCAACUGUAGAAUUGCCUCUGAUACUGUUAUUCUUGAGUAUCGGAGAGGUCGCUGGAAUUCGUGGUGUAGCGGUGAAAUGCGUAGAUAUCACGAGGAACACCAGAGGCGUAGGCGGGCGACUGGACGAUUACUGACGCUGAGGCACGAAAGCGUGGGGAGCAAACAGGAUUAGAUACCCUGGUAGUCCACGCUGUAAACGAUGGAUGCUCGGUGUUGUCCCGAUUUUGGGGCAGUGCCCAAGCUAACGCGUUAAGCAUCCCACCUGGGGAGUACGCUCGCAAGAGUGAA
Molecule: ribosomal RNA, 375 nt
Filed under: uncultured bacterium
Lineage: Bacteria
Description: bacterial SSU rRNA
Rfam family: Bacterial small subunit ribosomal RNA
Source: RNAcentral